CCCUAGCCCUGAUAGAAGUGGAAAUCCUUAUGAGGCUCUUUUUUUUUAACGAGACUCAUAAGAUUGUAACGGAUAGCAGGAAAUAGC
This 87-nucleotide small RNA is filed under the name Flavobacterium sp. A45. RNAcentral describes it as "Flavo-1 RNA". It matches the Rfam family "Flavo-1 RNA". Lineage: Bacteria; Pseudomonadati; Bacteroidota; Flavobacteriia; Flavobacteriales; Flavobacteriaceae. The record is from Rfam by way of RNAcentral.